GAUGAACGCUGGCGGCGUGCUUAACACAUGCAAGUCGAACGAAGCACUUUAUUUGAUUUCCUUCGGGAUUGAUUAUUUUGUGACUGAGUGGCGGACGGGUGAGUAACGCGUGGGUAACCUGCCUUGUACAGGGGGAUAACAGUUGGAAACGGCUGCUAAUACCGCAUAAGCGCACAGCAUCGCAUGAUGCAGUGUGAAAAACUCCGGUGGUAUAAGAUGGACCCGCGUUGGAUUAGCUAGUUGGUGAGGUAACGGCCCACCAAGGCGACGAUCCAUAGCCGACCUGAGAGGGUGACCGGCCACAUUGGGACUGAGACACGGCCCAAACUCCUACGGGAGGCAGCAGUGGGGAAUAUUGCACAAUGGGCGAAAGCCUGAUGCAGCGACGCCGCGUGAGCGAAGAAGUAUUUCGGUAUGUAAAGCUCUAUCAGCAGGGAAGAUAAUGACGGUACCUGACUAAGAAGCACCGGCUAAAUACGUGC
RNAcentral lists this ribosomal RNA (482 nucleotides) under uncultured bacterium. RNAcentral's name for it is "bacterial SSU rRNA". It matches the Rfam family "Bacterial small subunit ribosomal RNA", at positions 28 to 508 of the family's 1533-position model. The record is from RNAcentral.